This 1343-nucleotide ribosomal RNA is filed under the name uncultured bacterium. RNAcentral describes it as "16S ribosomal RNA". It matches the Rfam family "Bacterial small subunit ribosomal RNA", at positions 28 to 1378 of the family's 1533-position model. The record is from RNAcentral.
GACGAACGUUGGCGGCGUGCUUAACACAUGCAAGUCGAACGGAAAGGCCCUGCUUUUGUGGGGUGCUCGAGUGGCGAACGGGUGAGUAACACGUGAGUAACCUGCCCUUGACUUUGGGAUAACUUCAGGAAACUGGGGCUAAUACCAGAUAGGAGCUCCUGCUGCAUGGUGGGGGUUGGAAAGUUUCGGCGGUUGGGGAUGGACUCGCGGCUUAUCAGCUUGUUGGUGGGGUAGUGGCUUACCAAGGCUUUGACGGGUAGCCGGCCUGAGAGGGUGACCGGCCACAUUGGGACUGAGAUACGGCCCAGACUCCUACGGGAGGCAGCAGUGGGGAAUAUUGCACAAUGGGCGGAAGCCUGAUGCAGCAACGCCGCGUGCGGGAUGACGGCCUUCGGGUUGUAAACCGCUUUCGCCUGUGACGAAGCGUGAGUGACGGUAAUGGGUAAAGAAGCACCGGCUAACUACGUGCCAGCAGCCGCGGUGAUACGUAGGGUGCGAGCGUUGUCCGGAUUUAUUGGGCGUAAAGGGCUCGUAGGUGGUUGAUCGCGUCGGAAGUGUAAUCUUGGGGCUUAACCCUGAGCGUGCUUUCGAUACGGGUUGACUUGAGGAAGGUAGGGGAGAAUGGAAUUCCUGGUGGAGCGGUGGAAUGCGCAGAUAUCAGGAGGAACACCAGUGGCGAAGGCGGUUCUCUGGGCCUUUCCUGACGCUGAGGAGCGAAAGCGUGGGGAGCGAACAGGCUUAGAUACCCUGGUAGUCCACGCUGUAAACGGUGGGUACUAGGUGUGGGGUCCAUUCCACGGGUUCCGUGCCGUAGCUAACGCUUUAAGUACCCCGCCUGGGGAGUACGGCCGCAAGGCUAAAACUCAAAGGAAUUGACGGGGCCCCGCACAAGCGGCGGAGCAUGCGGAUUAAUUCGAUGCAACGCGUAGAACCUUACCUGGGUUUGACAUGGAUCGGGAGUGCUCAGAGAUGGGUGUGCCUCUUUUGGGGUCGGUUCACAGGUGGUGCAUGGCUGUCGUCAGCUCGUGUCGUGAGAUGUUGGGUUAAGUCCCGCAACGAGCGCAACCCUUGUUCACUGUUGCCAGCACGUUAUGGUGGGGACUCAGUGGAGACCGCCGGGGUCAACUCGGAGGAAGGUGGGGAUGACGUCAAGUCAUCAUGCCCCUUAUGUCCAGGGCUUCACGCAUGCUACAAUGGCUGGUACAGAGAGUGGCGAGCCUGUGAGGGUGAGCGAAUCUCGGAAAGCCGGUCUCAGUUCGGAUUGGGGUCUGCAACUCGACCUCAUGAAGUCGGAGUCGCUAGUAAUCGCAGAUCAGCAACGCUGCGGUGAAUACGUUCCCGGG